UGGGAGUUUUACUUACUCAAACAUGUUCUAAGGGCAGAAAGGAAAUGAUUGGUUUACAUAUUCAACCAAUGAAAUUGAAGCAGAGGCGGGGUCAAGCCGUUUGAAAUUUUAGAGGGAACACUUCAAACUGAUGUAACUGGGAGAGCGCAUCUAAUGUGAGGUCGAUAAUGAUUGACCGUGACCUAAACUCGAUGCCAUAAGAAGAGUUUUUCCAACAGCCAAGGUUCUUCUUUGCUGGUUUCAUGUACUCCAGUUACCUGGAUGACCUCACAGAAACUGGACGAAUCAAAGGAGCAAACACUGAAGAGACCACUAAUGCCGCCCAUUCUAUGAUUGCAAAAGGCCUGGGUGCAAAAGUGGAGAUAAAAAAAUGGAGUGUGUUUGGUUCCACCCGACACAAGCACACAAUGUCACAGUGUGGACUUGGUCAUGCACAAAUGCGACUGCAAAAGAUUUCAAUGUGGAUGUGUAUGCAAACACUUAAUUUUUUCACAGAACAUUGCAGAGAAACAAGGACUUAUAAUUCAAGAUCUUACAGCAGAAGUAGCAAAAAAAUUGUUGACAGUGAAUCCUACAUCGGGGUCAAUGAAAACCUUACCGUCUAUCAAUUUGAUGGGAGUGUAGAAACUGUAAGUUGUAAAGGGACCAAAUUUUGGACAUGCAUUGCGAAUAGCCAUGGAGAGGUAUGUGUAUGUAUAUUGUUUCCCAACAUUCUGUACCCAACAUCAUCUGAGAACAUAUCUGAUGAUUCACACUGCUUUAGGUCCAGUGAGAGAAAACCAGUUACACUGCAAGCCAUGCUUACAGAUCUCCAUGAGUGGAGCAAAUCAGAACAUUUUUGUGAGGAUAAUGAAGUGUACAGGUUAGUUAUUUCAGUUUAAUAAACUGUCAAAAAAAGAAAAGCGACUGUACAGAUGCUUUGUAUAAGAACAAAUUGAAGGAACAAAUAUUAAUUUGAAGUAAUCAAGAAAUAAAAAAUAAAAAAACCCACACAAUUCUUUUUAAUAUUUUAUUUUAUUUUAUUUUUUGUACAGCUGAACACUGCACAUCAAGAAACAAGAGUUCGAAACAAUGUGCAAGUAAAUAAAAUAAAGUGGGAAAAACCUUA
Molecule: RNA transcript, 1108 nt
Organism: Megalobrama amblycephala (Wuchang bream)
Lineage: Eukaryota; Metazoa; Chordata; Actinopteri; Cypriniformes; Xenocyprididae
Exons: 3
Source: RefSeq, a predicted model, not a curated record